CCCUUAGAUGUCCUGGGCCGCACGCGCGUUACACUGAUGCAUUCAACGAGCUUAUAACCUUGGCCGAGAGGCCUGGGCAAUCUUGUUAACGUGCAUCGUGAUAGGGAUAGAUUAUUGAAAUUAUUAAUCUUGAACGAGGAAUUCCUAGUAAACGCAGAUCAUCAAUCUGCAUUGAUUACGUCCCUGCCCUUUGUACACACCGCCCGUCGCUCCUACCGAUUGAAUGUGUUGGUGAGGAGCUCGGAUUGGCAGCAGUUGGUGGUUCGCCACCGGCUAUUGCUGAGAAGUCCUCCAAACCGCCCCAUUUAGAGGAAGGAGAAGUCGUAACA
Molecule: ribosomal RNA, 329 nt
Filed under: uncultured eukaryote
Lineage: Eukaryota
Description: partial 18S ribosomal RNA
Rfam family: Eukaryotic small subunit ribosomal RNA
Source: RNAcentral